AUGCUCUCAGCAGAAGACACUUUGA
RNAcentral lists this non-coding RNA (25 nucleotides) under Cricetulus griseus (Chinese hamster). The record is from RNAcentral. Lineage: Eukaryota; Metazoa; Chordata; Mammalia; Rodentia; Cricetidae.